UGUAAGUGUUUUGCCCACGUGUGUGUCUGUGCUCCAUGUGCGUACAGUACGCACAAAGUCCAGAAGGGGGCGUCAGGUCAUCUGGAACUGGAAUUACAAAUGCUUGUGUGCUGCCACGUCAAUGCUUAGAACCGAACCUUUGUCAGUUCCAAGAGCAGCCAGUGCCUGUUGAAGUAGCUCAGUCCCUGUUUCUUUUUCUUUAGAAUCUGAAGUUGCUGUGUCAGCAAAGUUGGGUAUUUAUUUAUUUAUUUAUUUAUCUUGCUCUUUCCUCUUUCUCAAUCUUUAUAUGGAUAUAUUAGGAUUCCCUUUUUCUUUAACUGUUUGAAAUCUUUAGAAUUCAAAUAUACUACCUUUUUUUAUCCCUUUUUUAAAAUCACAGCUUUCAUUUGCCUUUCAAAAUGCUACACAUGGCUAAUUCUAAUUUUUCUUCCCCAAAAUAUGUUAAUUAUUCAUAUAUAUGUAUAUGAAUAUUCUUCUGCAAGAAGAGCAAAUGCUCUUAACUGAUAAGCCAUCUCUGUAGCCCUUAGAAAAAAAUCUUUAUUCUUCUUUAAUAGUAAUACAUAAAACACAUGAAAGUUUUUGAAUCCCAUUAUCAGAAAGUCAUUGUCGUUAGCUGUGGUUGCUUGACAGCACUUUUGUUCAUCGCUGCUUCUCUUAUCUCGUGUUUGUCUUUAUCAAAUUCACACUUUCAUGUUUCUGGAGAGCAUGCUUGAAGAUCAUUUACAAAAGAACAUUUUUUUGGUCUUUAAAAGUGGAAGGUGUAUUUCUGUUGUCUCCAGUUCUGAACAACCAUCUAGAUAAGUGCAGAAUUCACAGCACACAGUUAUUAUCUUUUGGCCCAUGUUGCUCCCUCAUUUCUAGUACCCUUUUCUUUUUGUUAGAGCUUUUAUUGCUAUGCCAAAAAUACCAUGCCCCCAAAGCAAGUUGGGUGUGAAAGGGUGUGUUGGGCUUACACUUACGUCCACGGCACUGUGCAUCGUUGAAGGACAGGAACCAAAUCAAGGCAUGGUUCUGGGGGCAGCCAGGAGCUGAUGCAGGAGCCAUGAACCCAGAACCACUCACCCAGGAAUGCACCUCCCACAAUGGGCUGAUCCCUCCCCAAUUGAUCAGUAAUUGAGAAAAAACCUUACAGCUGUACCUCAUGUGGCAUUUCCUCAAUUGUGUGUCCUUCCUCUCUGAUGACUCUAGCUUGUGUCAAGUUGACACACAAAACCAGCCAGUAUACCCCACUACAAAGUGGGAUUAACAUUCCAGCCCCAUCUUAUCUGCAUUGAUGAUAUUUGCCUAGUUCUGUCUUACUUUAUACUCAUAUUUUUAGUACGUUCUUUUUAUCCAUGUACUUUAGAUAGGAAUCUAUGACAAUUGGGUUGGUAUGUGUCAUGUAUGUACUUUAUGGUCUUUAACAUAAUGAACUAAGUAUUUUUUUAAUGACAAUAAUGUGCCUCAAGUGAUCAUAGCACACGGCUGAACUGUCCAAGGUCAGCCAAUGGAUUGACCAUUUCUAAAUAUGUGUUCAAAAACAAGGUUGAUGUCUAUCAUACACUACUACAAAGACAAGCAUACACACCCUACCAUACAUACCCUACAUACACACCCUACCACCACCGCCACCAAACAACCAACCAAACAAACAAAUAAAACCACUACAAACAAAUACGACCCAACCUAGCAAUAAGAACAAAAUACUUCCACACUCAUUUCAUGUCCCCAGUGCCCAGGUGCCCAGGAAAGCAAUGCCUACUUGACCAACAAGGGGAUAAGAGGCAAUUUCUGGUCUUUUGACAUCAGUCAUUUGUUCCUUGUGAGUACACUCAUGCUAGCAAGGGAAUUUGAGUGGAGAACAUUUGGUUACCACAGGCUGAUGUAUGAAUGAUAGUUCAGAGUUCCAUUCUUCAUACAAUGAUUUUAUCAUCUUUAAGAUCCCAACAUAGUGGAGUGGGUAACAGACAUGGCGGGGAUGCUCUUCCCAGUUGAACAGCACAGCCCACAUAUCUCUACUGGGUGGAGAAUAAUCUGGUGGAGUGCCCCCUGGAGCUGGACAGCAGCAUUGCACUAGCCCCAGGGUGGCAGUUGGGCUUUGUAUUCUAUUUCACUCCUUCACACUAUAGCUUUCUGGCCUCCUCUGUCAAGCAACUGAGGUCCUCAGAUCAAGUUUGCCUUUCCAUGUUGAGUUUUUUGGCACAUUAAAAAUAAAUGACACAUUUCCCCAGUUGUACCAGAAGCAACUGGGUGAUGGGGAAGAGCUGGUGCCAGAGGUCUGUGCUAGGGACAAGUGCUGAAGGAGUUCUGGAGAGGAGCCUUACUCCCUUCUGUCACAGGGUUGCUGUCCACUGCAGGCUGCUGGCAUCAACAUCUCCCCUCAGCAUGAGUAUGGGGCAACUCUGAGGUGGGGCCAGUUCAGGUCUCUAGGAAAUCACAUUUAACCAAAGAGAUUAAAUUUCAAGUCUAAUACCACAUGGAAAGCAAAGCCAAACUUGGAGGACAGAAAUGAAACCAAUGCAUAUCAGCACAGACAAGAACUGGGGAGGACUCUGAUUAUUAAGAGACACUAAGAGAUUUGCAAAUGUUGAACUGUGGUGGCGCACACCUUUAAUCCUGCCACUUGGGAGGCAGAAGAAGGCUUAGCUCUGAGUUUAAGGCCAGCCUGGACUACAGAGGGAGUUCUAGGAUAGCCAGGGAUAUAUGGAGAAACCCUGUCUUGU
RNAcentral lists this long non-coding RNA (2702 nucleotides) under Mus musculus (house mouse). RNAcentral describes it as "long non-coding RNA chr7:136283770-136286472". Lineage: Eukaryota; Metazoa; Chordata; Mammalia; Rodentia; Muridae. The record is from RNAcentral.